ACCGAGGCCAACGAUCGAGCCAGCUUGCUGGUGAAGUGACUGAACGAGGUUCCAGGAAAAGCCACUAAGCUUCAGCUAUACACGACCGUACCGCAAACCGACACUGGUGCGCGAGAUGAGUAUUCUAAGGCGCUUGAGAGAACUCAGGAGAAGGAACUCGGCAAAUUGACACCGUAACUUCGGAAGAAGGUGUGCCCUAUUAGUGUGAAGUGAACAACGGAGCAUGAAUGGGUUGCAAAAAAUCGGUGGCUGCGACUGUUUAUUAAAAACACAGCACUCUGCAAACACGAAAGUGGACGUAUAGGGUGUGACGCCUGCCCGGUGCUGGAAGAUUAAAUGAUGGGGUGCAAGCUCUUGAUUGAAGUCCCAGUAAACGGCGGCCGUAACAAUAACGGUCCUAAGGUAGCGAAAUUCCUUGUCGGGUAAGUUCCGACCUGCACGAAUGGCGUAACGAUGGCCACACUGUCUCCUCCUGAGACUCAGCGAAGUUGAAAUGUUUGUGAUGAUGCAAUCUCCCCGCGGAAAGACGGAAAGACCCCAUGAACCUUUACUGUAGCUUUGUAUUGGACUUUGAACAGAUCUGUGUAGGAUAGGUGGGAGGCUUUGAAGCAGGGUCGCUAGAUCUUGUGGAGCCAACGUUGAAAUACCACCCUGGUGUGUUUGAGGUUCUAACCUAGGUCCAUUAUCUGGAUCGGGGACAGUGCAUGGUAGGCAGUUUGACUGGGGCGGUCUCCUCCCAAAGCGUAACGGAGGAGUUCGAAGGUACGCUAGUUACGGUCGGACAUCGUGACGAUAGUGCAAUGGCAUAAGCGUGCUUAACUGCGAGACUGACAAGUCGGGCAGAUGCGAAAGCAGGACAUAGUGAUCCGGUGGUUCUGUAUGGAAGGGCCAUCGCUCAACGGAUAAAAGGUACUCUGGGGAUAACAGGCUGAUACCGCCCAAGAGUUCAUAUCGACGGCGGUGUUUGGCACCUCGAUGUCGGCUCAUCUCAUCCUGGGGCUGUAGCCGGUCCCAAGGGUAUGGCUGUUCGCCAUUUAAAGAGGUACGUGAGCUGGGUUUAAAACGUCGUGAGACAGUUUGGUCCCUAUCUUCCGUGGGCGCUGCAGAUUUGAGGAAGCCUGCUCCUAGUACGAGAGGACCGGAGUGGACACACCUCUGGUGUAUCGGUUGUCACGCCAGUGGCAUUGCCGAGUAGCUAAGUGUGGAAGAGAUAACCGCUGAAAGCAUCUAAGCGGGAAACUCGUUUCAAGAUGAGAUCUGCCGGGGCCUUGAGCCCCCUGAAGAGUCGUUCAAGACCAGGACGUUGAUAGGUCAGGUGUGGAAGCGCAGUAAUGCGUUAAGCUAACUGAUACUAAUUGCUCGUGCGGCUUGACCCC
RNAcentral lists this ribosomal RNA (1376 nucleotides) under metagenome. RNAcentral describes it as "bacterial LSU rRNA". It matches the Rfam family "Bacterial large subunit ribosomal RNA", at positions 1555 to 2925 of the family's 2925-position model. The record is from RNAcentral.